UCUCAGUUCCAGGUUUCUGUGCGAAUCAGC
Molecule: non-coding RNA, 30 nt
Filed under: Mus musculus (house mouse)
Lineage: Eukaryota; Metazoa; Chordata; Mammalia; Rodentia; Muridae
Source: RNAcentral